This 148-nucleotide non-coding RNA is filed under the name Callithrix jacchus (white-tufted-ear marmoset). Lineage: Eukaryota; Metazoa; Chordata; Mammalia; Primates; Cebidae. The record is from Rfam by way of RNAcentral.
GCUGGGCGUGGUGGUGGGCACCUGUAGUCUCAGCUACUUGGGAGGCUGAGGCAGGAGAAUCGCUUGAUCCCAGGAGACUGAGGUUGCAGUGAGCCAAGAUUAUGUCACUGCACUUCAGCCUGGGCAACACAGUGAGACUCUGUCUCAA